CUGAGUAAGCUAGAACUGCUGGGCCGGCCUGUGCAGGUUGUUCUGGCUUUUAAUCGUUUCCAGUGAUUGAAAAGCCCAGGCUACCAUCCCUCCAAAUAACUCCAGUGCUAACUCAAACCUCAUAUUCACCAUUCACUUUCCGGCAGCUUAGAACCUACCGGGGCGCAGGACGUAGUUUUCGUCUUUACCAGAGUGCGUGGCCGGGCGCGGUGGCUCACACCUGUCAUCCCAGCAUUUUGGGAGGCCCAGGCGGUCGGAUCGCCUGAGGUCAGGAGUUCAAGACCAGCCUGGCCAACGUGGUGAAACCCUGUCUCUACUAAAAGCACAAAAAUUAGCCAGGCGUGGUGGUGGGCGCCUGUAACCCCAGCUACUCGGGAGGGUGAGGCAGGGAGAAUCGACUGAACCCAGAGGCAGAGGUUGUAGUGAGCCGAGAUCAUGCCACUGCACUCCAGCCUGGGCAACAGAGUGAGGCUCUGUCUCAAAAAACAAAACAACAACAACAAAACAAAAAAAGAGUGAGAGGACAAAACAGGUGUAUAUUCCCAUUUUAUAGAUGACAUAACUGAGGCCCAAAGAAGGAAAGUGACUCACUCAGUGUCACAGUAAAUCCACGGCAGGACCAGGGCCAGAACAAAAGUCUCCUGAGUGGCACUCUUCACUAUCACAUAACACUGUGGCUCGCAACAGCCCUGGAAGCAAAGCCAGUUGGGGUCACCAGGCACCUAGACCCUCACUGCUUGUCUGCUGGCAGAGAGCCGCUCCUUCUUGUCAGAGUAAGUAGGAAGGAGGCCUUUGCCUGUGCGGACCUAUGGUCUGGUGACUCCAGCCAGCACAAACCCAUCCCCUGAUGGUUGGAGGCUGGGCAAGGGCUUCUUGCAAGAUGCGCCUGACAGUGCCUUGUUACAGAGCACCUGCUGUGCUUAGCAUUCCACCCGGGGCCAAGAGGCUGUGUGAGCAGGUGACAGCCAGCCUGGCCCCGCCUGUCACAAGCUGCUAGGUCUGCACCCUUGCCACCCAUGGCAGGGGGUCUGACAAAGACUCCCCAUUUGUGAGGUCUGUUCACUGCCUGUAUUUCGAACAGGGCCUGGCUCUGCAAACCUGUGCAAACUGUGUUGAUAUAGGAGCCGACAUGAGCAAGCAGAGGCUCCCCUGGCUCAGGCAGCCCCAGGUUGGGUUGGCCAGACAGCAACCAGGCACAGGGGCCAAGUGCAGGUCCUGCUACCCAGCCACCACAGCUUCCUCUCACCUGAUUCUCACAGCAACCCAGGCAGGAUAGGCAGGGUGGGGUUAUCUUAUUUUGCAGAAACAGGCUUUCCCAAGUCUGUCACCAAGUGAGGGGUAGAGCUGGGUGUCCAGCCAGAUCUAACCUCCAGCCCAGAGCUGGUGAUGCGGAAAAUCAGGGCAGAUGGCAGCAGGAUCUAAAAUAGGGAGGGAAGAAGUCCUCAGUUACGUAACAGCGAGGAGACUCUCAGCCUACGCACAGUAGCAACCAUGGGGUCCUGCCACUCGAGCCAGACCCUCCUUCCCUUCCCGUUUUGGGCUCUAAGUGCUGCCCCCUGUGAGAGAAUGUGCUGGAGGAGCCCCCAGUAUCCUUCCAGCGGGAAGUCGGCUCUGUCAAGGCCAUUCCCGAGAGCAGGCUCUAGGAAUUCAAAGACCAAGCAGGCAGAGCUGGAUUCUGGAGCUGCCCUCAAAGGGCUUGAGGGUUAUAUGAGCGCCGUGCUUGAGAAGUUAGUGAUGAUUUCUGCUCAAAGAGACAGAGCAAGAGGGCUGAGGGGCUCUGGUGCUCUGGGGGAGAUGAAACAACCCCACAGUAUAUGAGGCCUCUCUGGUGUGUGCGGGCACUAAGGAAGGGUGACUUGCGAGUGGCGCAUUCGGAGGCACGGGGUGGGCAGCUGUUGAGCAAGGGACCAGGGCUGGGACAGGCUGCCAGGACCCCCACAACCCCAGGGGAGGAAAGGGGACUCAGCCAUCAUCAUGCCUGACUCCCAGGCUCCCGGAUGAGGAGCCUGCUAGCCAGGGCUUGAAGCCCUCCAGUGACAGGGGGUGCAUUACUUCCUAAGAAGCCAUUUCCUUGGUUCAGAAACGUUUAUCCAAAGACUGAGCCGAAAUCUACCACCUCACUUAAUGUUUUUGGCACCUGGUUAUGACCCAGACCUGCACAGAAUAAUUUAACUCUUCUGAAAUAGACUUCCAGAUAUUUGGAAGUGGCCAAGUCAGGUUUAAGAGCUCAGGUCUCCCAUUUGACAAGAUUUCCAUCUCCUCGCUGUCUGAACAGGUUUCAGCUGUGGUUAUCCAAUCCCUCAUUCUUGAUGACACACACCAGGCUGAAUGGUCUUUAGAGUUCCCCUCAAGCCGCCAAGCGCUCUGAGACAGGUUUACUAGCUUUGGUGAGAUGCUGACACUCCUCACAUGCACGUGCCCCUCCCAACUACUCAAGUGAGUUCGUGGCAAAUCUCUCAUCUGAUCUGCAUAAACGGAUUAUAUCUUAGGCGGUGCCAUUGUCUGCAUUUUACAAAUAAGGAAACUGAGCCUCAGGGAGGUGAAGUCAUUUGCCCAAAAUCACAGAGCCAGGAAACGAGAGAGCCAAGAUCCAGACCCCGCAAGAUCCAGACCCCACAAGAUCCAGACCCCGCAAGAUCCAGACCCCUCAAGAUAUAGACCCUGCAAGAUCCAGACCUCACAAGAUCCAGACCCCACAAGAUCCAGACCUCGGCUAUCUGGCUUCUCUUUUUUUUGCGACAGAGUCUCAAUCUGUCACCCAGGCUGGAGCGCAGUGGUGUGAUCUCAGCUCACUGCAACCUCUGCCUCCCAGGUUCAAGCAAUUCUCCUGCCUCAGCCUCCCGAGUAGCUGGGAUCACAGGUGUGCGCCAUGCCUGGCUAAAUUUUUUUUUUUUUUUUUGUAUUUUUAGUAGAGAUGGGGUUUCGCUAUGUUGGCCAAGCUGGUCUCGAACCCCUGACCUCAGGUGAUCCACCUGCCUCGACCUCUCAGAGUGCUGGGAUUACAGGCGUGAGCCACUGCACCCAGCCCCAUCUGACUUCUAUACCCGCAGCCCCUUCCUUUACCCUCAGGCUGCCUCAGUCUCCACACUGGGGCCCAGAGCUGGGCUGGACUCAGCGCAGUCAGAACCUCGCCUUGCACGUGGCGAAGGAGCGGCAGGCAGGCAGGCAGGCAGGCAGGCAAGCAGGACAGCCAGCUUCCUCCUAGUCCGCAGUUUCGCGGAGCAGCCUGGAAAGGGAGGCCCAGGCUUCCCUGUCUCGUCGCACGUGUGUCUGCAGUGUCUGUGCUAUCUCCCAGGGGCCUGGAUGUCGAUGGAAUGCCUGAGGGUGGAGAGAGCUGUGGCUGAGGCCUACCCUGGCGGCCUCAGCAUCUGUGGAGAUGUGUAGAGACAGGGAGAGUGAAUGGGGACCAACCUCAGGAGAUGCUGGGUCCCAGAAGCACCAUGUGCUUCUCCUUUGGUGAGACUUAAUUACUCUCUAAAAUGUAAGGCUACUCCCACUUAUCAAAUUAUAGAUGAGUUUAAUUACAGCACACUGAGUAACCACACUGGGCUCCUUCAGAAAUAGCAGCAGGCUGGUUGCUCUUCUCAGCUUCAGCUGUAGCCACCCCAGUUUCAGGAGGAAGUGCCCGUGGUUCCUGGGGCCUGGAAGUGCCGCUCAACUCUGCUGCCAGACAAGUGCGGGCGUGGUGGACUGCACUGGGUACACUGCUGUACCGGCCACCACCCUCCGGCCACUCUCAGCCGGUGAGUGCUCUGCGGGGCCAUCUGGCCACGUGUUCUGUGACUGGGUCAUUUACUCUGCUGCAACCUCUCUUUCUCCUACCUACAUCGUGUUCUGGAUAAAGGUUUUGGCUCAUAAUGUCCGACCAGAGGUGGACAAAGUGGUGUGGGACCUGCCGUAAGAAACAGGGAGCAUGGUGCGGGGAGAGAAGCCUGUGCCUUAUGGAGACUCGGGGCACCUUCAGGAAGCAGGGUCAACAGCAGCAGGCCGCUAGGGAGUCGGGAGAGCUCGGUGAUGUCACGAGGGGCAUCAGACUCUUCCCUGCAGGCUGGCGGGACUGAUGGGCUCUCGUUCCAAUGGAGGUACAAUGGGACUUCCGGGGCUGUGAUGGGAAGGGCGGAGGAGCUGCCGAUGGUCCCAGUGCCAUAUUAGUGUCACAUUCUGAGGGGCAGCCCUGUGCCGGACGGCAGCUGCUACCUCUCCCUCUGCCCCUUUAUUACUUGAAUCUCUUCGUUGUGCCCUGUCUAGGCACGGUCGUCCGACAGCAGGCAGCCCACUGCCCUCCCAGAGCUCACUGUCUAGCCCAGGGUGACACAGGGUAACCGUGGGCAUGACUUGGGCCGGGAAGUGAGAGGCUCGAUUCCAUCACAUGUAAAUAAAAAUACUCAUUUUCAAUCUAA
This 4400-nucleotide long non-coding RNA is filed under the name Homo sapiens (human). RNAcentral describes it as "long independently transcribed non-coding RNA 2012 (LINC02012)". Lineage: Eukaryota; Metazoa; Chordata; Mammalia; Primates; Hominidae. The record is from RNAcentral.